Molecule: ribosomal RNA, 795 nt
Filed under: uncultured bacterium
Lineage: Bacteria
Description: bacterial SSU rRNA
Rfam family: Bacterial small subunit ribosomal RNA
Source: RNAcentral
AAAAUGAGAGCUUCGGCAGGAUUUUUAUUUAUCUUAGUGGCGGACGGGUGAGUAACGUGUGGGCAACCUGCCCUAUACUGGGGAAUAAUCACUGGAAACGGUGACUAAUACCGCAUGUCAUCACGAGAAGGCAUCUUUUUGUGAGAAAAGGAGUAAUUCGGUAUAGGAUGGGCCCGCAUCUGAUUAGCUAGUUGGUGAGAUAACAGCCCACCAAGGCGACGAUCAGUAGCCGACCUGAGAGGGUGAUCGGCCACAUUGGGACUGAGACACGGCCCAAACUCCUACGGGAGGCAGCAGUGGGGAAUAUUGCACAAUGGGGGAAACCCUGAUGCAGCAACGCCGCGUGAAGGAAGAAGGUUUUCGGAUCGUAAACUUCUAUCAACAGGGACGAAGAAAGUGACGGUACCUGAAUAAGAAGCCCCGGCUAACCACGUGCCAGCAGCCGCGGUAAUACGUAGGGGGCAAGCGUUAUCCGGAAUUACUGGGUGUAAAGGGAGCGUAGGCGGCACGCCAAGCCAGAUGUGAAAGCCCGAGGCUUAACCUCGCGGAUUGCAUUUGGAACUGGCGAGCUAGAGUACAGGAGAGGAAAGCGGAAUUCCUAGUGUAGCGGUGAAAUGCGUAGAUAUUAGGAAGAACACCAGUGGCGAAGGCGGCUUUCUGGACUGAAACUGACGCUGAGGCUCGAAAGCGUGGGGAGCAAACAGGAUUAGAUACCCUGGUAGUCCACGCCGUAAACGAUGAGUGCUAGGUGUCGGGGAGGAAUCCUCGGUGCCGCAGCUAACGCAAUAAGCACUC